Non-coding RNA from Schistosoma haematobium, 48 nucleotides. The record is from Rfam. Lineage: Eukaryota; Metazoa; Platyhelminthes; Trematoda; Strigeidida; Schistosomatidae.
AUCCAGCUGACAAGUCCCAAAUAGGACGAAGUGACUCACAUCCUGGAU